RNAcentral lists this microRNA precursor (145 nucleotides) under Gossypium arboreum. Its description in RNAcentral is "MIR7502 microRNA precursor family". It matches the Rfam family "MIR7502 microRNA precursor family". Lineage: Eukaryota; Viridiplantae; Streptophyta; Magnoliopsida; Malvales; Malvaceae. The record is from Rfam by way of RNAcentral.
UAGUAAAAAAUCCUUCCAUUUGUACUAUUAAAGUCUUGGGAGCCUAACCGAGUAACCAAACAAUGAUAAAUAGCUCACCGUAUGUACUUCAUUAUGAUAUACAAAGACUAAUUUUUAAUAGUAGAAAUGGAUAAUUUUUUUAACA